AAUACAUAGUGGCGCACGGGUGAGUAACGCGUGGGUAAUGUGCCCUAAAGUGGGGGAUAACCAGUCGAAAGACUGGCUAAUACCGUAUAAGACCACGAGAGCUGCGGCUCUUGAGGUAAAAGUUUUUCGCUUUAGGAUCAGCCCGCGUAGGAUUAGCUAGUUGGUGAGGUAAUGGCUCACCAAGGCGACGAUCUUUAACUGGUCUGAGAGGAUGAUCAGUCACACUGGAACUGAGACACGGUCCAGACUCC
RNAcentral lists this ribosomal RNA (251 nucleotides) under uncultured bacterium. Its description in RNAcentral is "partial 16S ribosomal RNA". It matches the Rfam family "Bacterial small subunit ribosomal RNA", at positions 87 to 339 of the family's 1533-position model. The record is from RNAcentral.